RNAcentral lists this ribosomal RNA (404 nucleotides) under uncultured bacterium. RNAcentral's name for it is "bacterial SSU rRNA". It matches the Rfam family "Bacterial small subunit ribosomal RNA", at positions 355 to 775 of the family's 1533-position model. The record is from RNAcentral.
UAGGGAAUCUUCCACAAUGGGCGAAAGCCUGAUGGAGCGACGCCGCGUGCAGGAUGACGGCCUUCGGGUUGUAAACUGCUUUUAUAUGGGAAGAUUAUGACGGUACCAUAUGAAUAAGAGUUGGCUAACUCCGUGCCAGCAGCCGCGGUAAUACGGAGAACUCAAGCGUUACCCGGAAUCACUGGGCGUAAAGCGUUGCGUAGGCGGCUUUGCAAGUUAGGUCUUAAAGACCGAGGCUCAACCUCAGCAGCGGGCUUAAUACUACAAAGCUAGAGGAUGGCAGAGGUGAGUGGAAUUGCUGGUGUAGGAGUGAAAUCCGUAGAUAUCAGCAGGAACACCGAUGGCGAAGGCAGCUCACUGGACCAUUCCUGACGCUCAGGCACGAAAGCGUGGGGAGCGAACCG